Molecule: non-coding RNA, 181 nt
Organism: Salmo salar (Atlantic salmon)
Lineage: Eukaryota; Metazoa; Chordata; Actinopteri; Salmoniformes; Salmonidae
Source: RefSeq, a predicted model, not a curated record
GCACAGACCUUUGGUGGGGCAGGGUCAGCAGGGUUGGCACAGACCUUUGGUGGGGCAGGGUCAGCAGGGUUGGCACAGACCUUUGGUGGGGCAGGGUCAGCAGGGUUGGCACAGACCUUUGGUGGGGCAGGGUCAGCAGGGUUGGCACAGACCUUUGGUGGGGCAGGGUCAGCAGGGUUGG